GACGAACGCUGGCGGCACGCCUAACACAUGCAAGUCGAACGGAGAUAUUAGCUUCGGUUAAUAUCUUGGUGGCGGACGGGUGAGUAACACGUGAGCAACCUGCCUCUAAGAACGGGAUAGCUUCUGGAAACGGAUGGUAAUACCGUAUAAUGUAUUGGGAAGGCAUCUUUCUAAUACCAAAGAUUUAUCGCUUAGAGAUGGGCUCGCGUCUGAUUAGCUAGAUGGUGAGGUAACGGCCCACCAUGGCGACGAUCAGUAGCCGGACUGAGAGGUUGAACGGCCACAUUGGGACUGAGACACGGCCCAGACUCCUACGGGAGGCAGCAGUGGGGGAUAUUGCACAAUGGGGGAAACCCUGAUGCAGCGAUGCCGCGUGGAGGAAGAAGGUUUUCGGAUUGUAAACUCCUGUCGUAAGGGACGAAGAAGUGACGGUACCU
RNAcentral lists this ribosomal RNA (437 nucleotides) under uncultured bacterium. RNAcentral describes it as "bacterial SSU rRNA". It matches the Rfam family "Bacterial small subunit ribosomal RNA", at positions 28 to 480 of the family's 1533-position model. The record is from RNAcentral.